AUACUCUCUUCAGCAGCACAUAUACUAAAAUUGGAAAGAUACAGAGAAGAUUAGCAUGGCCCCUGUGCAAGGAUGACAUGCAAAUUUGUGAAGCAUUCCAUAUUUUA
Otolemur garnettii (small-eared galago) is the source of this 107-nucleotide small nuclear RNA. Lineage: Eukaryota; Metazoa; Chordata; Mammalia; Primates; Galagidae. The record is from Ensembl.